GCAGCGGUGGCUCAGUGGUAGAAUUCUCGUCUUCCAUGCAGGAGACCUGGGUUCGAUUCCCAGCCAAUGAA
RNAcentral lists this transfer RNA (71 nucleotides) under Loxodonta africana (African savanna elephant). It matches the Rfam family "tRNA". Rfam says of the family: Transfer RNA (tRNA) molecules are approximately 80 nucleotides in length. Their secondary structure includes four short double-helical elements and three loops (D, anti-codon, and T loops). Further hydrogen bonds mediate the characteristic L-shaped molecular structure. tRNAs have two regions of fundamental functional importance: the anti-codon, which is responsible for specific mRNA codon recognition, and the 3' end, to which the tRNAs corresponding amino acid is attached (by aminoacyl-tRNA synthetases). tRNAs cope with the degeneracy of the genetic code in two manners: having more than one tRNA (with a specific anti-codon) for a particular amino acid; and 'wobble' base-pairing, i.e. permitting non-standard base-pairing at the 3rd anti-codon position. The record is from Rfam by way of RNAcentral. Lineage: Eukaryota; Metazoa; Chordata; Mammalia; Proboscidea; Elephantidae.